RNAcentral lists this ribosomal RNA (468 nucleotides) under uncultured bacterium. Its description in RNAcentral is "partial 16S ribosomal RNA". It matches the Rfam family "Bacterial small subunit ribosomal RNA", at positions 28 to 507 of the family's 1533-position model. The record is from RNAcentral.
GACGAACGCUGGCGGCGUGCUUAACACAUGCAAGUCGAACGGAAAGGCCCUGCUUUUGUGGGGUGCUCGAGUGGCGAACGGGUGAGUAACACGUGAGUAACCUGCCCUUGACUUUGGGAUAACUUCAGGAAACUGGGGCUAAUACCGGAUAGGAGCUCCUGCUGCAUGGUGGGGGUUGGAAAGUCUCGGCGGGUGGGGAUGGACUCGCGGCUUAUCAGCUUGUUGGUGGGGUAGUGGCAUACCAAGGCUGUGACGGGUAGGCGGCCUGGGAGGGUGACCGGCCACAUUGGUACUGCGGGACGGCCCAGUCUGCUACGGGAGGCAGCAGUGGGAAAUAUUGCACAAUGGGCCGAAGCCUGAUGCAGCGACGCCGCGUGUGUAAUGACGGCCUUCUGGGUGUAAACCGCUUUCGCCUGUGACGAAGCGGGAGUGACGGUAAUGGGUAAAGAAGCACCGGCUAACUACGUG